This is a long non-coding RNA of Puntigrus tetrazona (Sumatra barb), 821 nucleotides long. RefSeq lists it as uncharacterized. NCBI's taxonomy places the organism in Eukaryota, Metazoa, Chordata, Actinopteri, Cypriniformes, Cyprinidae. The transcript is spliced from 3 exons. The record is from RefSeq and is a predicted model, not a curated record.
GUUUCUUCUGAACACAGAUUUAGCACGCUGCUGUGGAUGAAAUGCUGAAUAGAUUCGAUUUUGGGGUUGCAUUAGGGUGGAUCCAUCCUGCGGUACCGUUUCCAUCAGCCGCCUUAAACUGCAUUAAAAAGAGGAACGAAACUCUGCCCUCUCUGGUCGGUGAGUGUUACUACUAUAGUCUGUGGCAAAAGGGAAAGGCAACACUGUGUUUUAAUCUUUGGAGUUCAGCCAGCCAUGGAAGGAGAAAGAUUUAUUACUUAGUUCCUGGAAAUCAGCAUUGGGUGGACUUUGGUUAUAUUAUUACUGAUGGACGUAUGGAAGUGUGAGGGGCCCGUCACUGACUCAGCAGCAGAGCGCGGUGGGUGUUUCUUCUCUUUCUCUGGACCGGGGUGAACGUGGAAGGGGUGUGGACCACUCUCCCAAAUGGACAUGCUCUGAGUACACGAGAAAACUAUUUGGUGUGUAAAUGUGAGUAAUUCUGCACACAUUUUUUGGGACUGAGUUUCGUAAUACCUUUAUCGUAACUCACGGAAAGCACCAAAAUGUCUGCAUAUGAGUCAUUGGAAAAUAGAAUGACAUCUGGGAACCAUACAAUCUAAAACGCCACAUGCCACAGUACUUGCUGAACUUUAUGGGUUUAUGAUUGGUCAACAAUAGCCAACAUCUUGUUUUCGGUGCUGCCUUAAAACGUUGUACGUACAAUUAAUCUUAUUAGAAAAUGCAUAAUAAGCUUUUAACAACUUUUAGAAAGUAGAAAGAAAUGCAUUUCAUAUGGUUUUGUUCAUCUGCCACGGUAAUAAAGAAAAGAUUUUGAAAAAGGC